RNAcentral lists this ribosomal RNA (274 nucleotides) under uncultured bacterium. RNAcentral's name for it is "partial 16S ribosomal RNA". It matches the Rfam family "Bacterial small subunit ribosomal RNA", at positions 523 to 796 of the family's 1533-position model. The record is from RNAcentral.
AUACGGAGGGGGUUAGCGUUGUUCGGAAUUACUGGGCGUAAAGCGGACGUAGGCGGACUGGAAAGUUGGGGGUGAAAUCCCGGGGCUCAACCCCGGAACUGCCUCCAAAACUUCCAAUCUAGAGAUCGAGAGAGGUGAGUGGAAUUCCAAGUGUAGAGGUGAAAUUCGUAGAUAUUUGGAGGAACACCAGUGGCGAAGGCGGCUCACUGGCUCGAUACUGACGCUGAGGUACGAAAGCGUGGGGAGCAAACAGGAUUAGAAACCCUAGUAGUCC